GUGUGUGUGUGUGUGUAGAUGAAUAUGAAGACUGUAAGGAGUGUGUGUGUGUGUGUGUGUGUAGAUGAAUAUGAAGACUGUAAGGUGAGUGUGUGUGUGUGUGUGUGUGGAUGAAUAUGAAGACUGUAAGGUGUGUGUGUGUGUGUGUGUGUGUGUGUAGAUGAAUAUGAAGACUGUAAGGUGAGUGUGUGUGUGUGUGUGUGGAUGAAUAUGAAGACUGUAAGGAGUGUGUGUGUGUGUGUAGAUGAAUAUGAAGACUGUAAGGUGUGUGUGUGUGUGUGUGUGUGUGUAGAUGAAUAUGAAGACUGUAAGGAUUGUGUGUGUGUGUGUGUAGAUAAAUAUGAAGACUGUAAGAAUUGUGUGUGUGUGUGUGUGUGUGUAGAUGAAUAUGAAGACUGUAAGGUGUGUGUGUGUGUGUGUGUUUGUGUGU
Long non-coding RNA from Clupea harengus (Atlantic herring), 430 nucleotides. NCBI's taxonomy places the organism in Eukaryota, Metazoa, Chordata, Actinopteri, Clupeiformes, Clupeidae. The record is from Ensembl.